ACAGUACAAACUGAUCAGGCGGUCUACCUCCGAGUUGUUUUGCGAGGUUUUUGCAGCCGGGCCCUUUGGGCAGCAGACUAAAAAGCAAGCGUCUGCGGGACAGU
RNAcentral lists this non-coding RNA (104 nucleotides) under uncultured Phascolarctobacterium sp. RNAcentral's name for it is "NiCo riboswitch". It matches the Rfam family "NiCo (Nickel/Cobalt) riboswitch aptamer". The record is from RNAcentral. Lineage: Bacteria; Bacillati; Bacillota; Negativicutes; Acidaminococcales; Acidaminococcaceae.